CCCCUCCAUCCCCUCUCACCCGCAAACCCCUCCAUCCCCUCUUCCCACACAAACCCCUCCAUCCCCUCUCCUGCACAAACCCCUCCAUUCCCCUCUUCCCUCACAAACCCCUCCAUUCCCUCUCCCGCACAAACACCUCCAGGGAUGGAGAGCAUGAGGCCGUUUCCUCUCAUCCUCUCGCCUGUCGCUCGGGAGAAGAGACCAGCACCCACCUCUCCACAACCUCCUUCCAGGGAGCUCUUAGAAAGCACAGAAAUGAACGUGAAGCUGCCACAUUAACUGGCCUGGUUGUUGGAGGAGAGAACAUUUGCAGCCAUCACUCAUCACGGUACCAAAGCCUUGUGACCUGGCAUGCGUUGGGCUCGGCUUCCUUGAGGCUUUGCUCCCAGCACAACCAAAGGACAACCAAAGUUGAGAAUGGCAGCAUGGAAAACUGGGGCAUUGUGUGUCACCAAAGACUAAAUGCAAUCCCCAAUCUCGUCC
Cuculus canorus (common cuckoo) is the source of this 483-nucleotide long non-coding RNA. RefSeq lists it as uncharacterized. NCBI's taxonomy places the organism in Eukaryota, Metazoa, Chordata, Aves, Cuculiformes, Cuculidae. The record is from RefSeq and is a predicted model, not a curated record. The transcript is spliced from 4 exons.